GAUGAACGCUGGCGGCGUGCCUAAUACAUGCAAGUCGAGCGAACAGACGAGGAGCUUGCUCCUUUGACGUUAGCGGCGGACGGGUGAGUAACACGUGGGUAACCUACCUAUAAGACUGGGAUAACUUCGGGAAACCGGAGCUAAUACCGGAUAAUUUUUCGAACCGCAUGGUUCGAUAGUGAAAGAUGGCUCUGCUAUCACUUAUAGAUGGACCUGCGCCGUAUUAGCUAGUUGGUAAGGUAACGGCUUACCAAGGCAACGAUACGUAGCCGACCUGAGAGGGUGAUCGGCCACACUGGAACUGAGACACGGUCCAGACUCCUACGGGAGGCAGCAGUAGGGAAUCUUCCGCAAUGGGCGAAAGCCUGACGGAGCAACGCCGCGUGAGUGAUGAAGGUCUUCGGAUCGUAAAACUCUGUUAUUAGGGAAGAACAAACGUGUAAGUAACUGUGCACGUCUUGACGGUACCUAAUCAGAAAGCCACGGCUAACUACGUG
RNAcentral lists this ribosomal RNA (497 nucleotides) under uncultured bacterium. RNAcentral's name for it is "partial 16S ribosomal RNA". It matches the Rfam family "Bacterial small subunit ribosomal RNA", at positions 28 to 507 of the family's 1533-position model. The record is from RNAcentral.